RNAcentral lists this ribosomal RNA (468 nucleotides) under uncultured bacterium. RNAcentral's name for it is "partial 16S ribosomal RNA". It matches the Rfam family "Bacterial small subunit ribosomal RNA", at positions 28 to 507 of the family's 1533-position model. The record is from RNAcentral.
GACGAACGCUGGCGGCGUGCUUAGCACAUGCAAGUCGAACGGAAAGGCCCUGCUUUUGUGGGGUGCUCGAGUGGCGAACGGGUGAGUAACACGUGAGUAACCUGCCCUUGACUUUGGGAUAACUUCAGGAAACUGGGGCUAAUACCGGAUAGGAGCUCCUGCUGCAUGGUGGGGGUUGGAAAGUUUCGGCGGUUGGGGAUGGACUCGCGGCUUAUCAGCUUGUUGGUGGGGUAGUGGCUUACCAAGGCUUUGACGGGUAGCCGGCCUGAGAGGGUGACCGGCCACAUUGGGACUGAGAUACGGCCCAGACUCCUACGGGAGGCAGCAGUGGGGAAUAUUGCACAAUGGGCGGAAGCCUGAUGCAGCAACGCCGCGUGCGGGAUGACGGCCUUCGGGUUGUAAACCGCUUUCGCCUGUGACGAAGCGUGAGUGACGGUAAUGGGUAAAGAGGCACCGGCUAACUACGUG